Long non-coding RNA from Mesocricetus auratus (golden hamster), 1040 nucleotides. RefSeq lists it as uncharacterized. The record is from RefSeq and is a predicted model, not a curated record. Lineage: Eukaryota; Metazoa; Chordata; Mammalia; Rodentia; Cricetidae. The transcript has 4 exons.
AGGAGCCUGAGCAUUUCUUCCAGCCCCCCUCCCUUCCCCUUCCUUCUUCCCCCUUUCUUAAAUCCUUGUCUCCUUCCCUCUCUUCCUCCCUCUCUUCCUCUUCCUCCUCCUCCCCUUCUUCUCUUGACAAGAUUUCUUUAUGUGGUCCAGGCUGUUCUCAAAGUUGUCAUUCUCUUGCCCCUGUCUCGUGAUGCUGGGAUUGCAGUCAUGACCAUCAUGCCCCAUGACUGAAUUGGGCCUUUUUAAAUGAUGGCUCUGCCCAGUCUGCACUAGACCUGUACAGGAAGACUGGAUUUUGGACUAUGGAGAAGACUCAACUUCCCAAUAAAAAGGACAAAGGGUAACAGAAUGGAUGAGAAAACAGGAUCCAUCCUUCUGCUGAAUGCAAGAGUCACACCUCAAUACCAGAGAUAGAUGUUACCUCAAGGCCACGUGUCUUUUAUCUGCUAAACAACACUGCUAAAGUAAAAGAGGAAGCAGCCGCUGGCUCUCAACAUGACCAGCCAACCUUUUGUCAUCUGACUUGAUGCUUCUGAACUGACAAACACCACACUGAAACUGAUUCCGGACUACAUCGCUCUACACAACUCCAGAUGAAUUAACUGAUAUGGUGUGCCUUCUACCCUCUGGCCAGAGCCUCAGAUAAGAGCUUCAAUCAAGAUUAGAACUUCAGUCAAGGACUUCAAUCAAGCAUCUCCCGCCAAACAGAGACCGGGUACAAAUGUUGUUGCCAGUCCACUGGAGACUUUCACUGCACUAACAUUUUCUUCCUACAGGAUCCCAUGAGGUUAUCAUCAUCCCAUUCCAGCAGGAAGUAGUUCUGAGAAUACUAUGCCCCCUUUCCCUACUGUUGAUUACAUGAUAAUUUACACUUGUUUAGAGGUAGUUUUCCAUAGUUUAGGGUUGGGAUUGGAAGGAGGUGUUCAGACUUGGGCAUCUCUUUCAGAUAAGUUUAGGUUUAGAGGGACUAUAUAUGCUUAGGAUGGUAUAUAGGUAGAUUAUUAUAUCUUCUGGUGAUUUAUAAUUUGUUUAUCACAAUU